Molecule: non-coding RNA, 952 nt
Filed under: Pattonomys semivillosus (Speckled spiny tree-rat)
Lineage: Eukaryota; Metazoa; Chordata; Mammalia; Rodentia; Echimyidae
Description: 12S ribosomal RNA
Rfam family: Bacterial small subunit ribosomal RNA
Source: RNAcentral
AAAGGUUUGGUCCUAGCCUUUUUAUUAAUUGAUAGCAAAAUUAUACAUGCAAGAGUCGUCAUCCCUGUGAAAAUGCCCUAUAAAUCAUCAAGAUAUCAAGGAGCAGGUAUCAAGCACACUAAUAGUAGCUCACAACACCUUGCUUAGCCACACCCCCACGGGAUACAGCAGUAACCAAAAUUAAGCAAUAAACGAAAGUUUGACUAAGUUAUGCUACACCACUAAGGGUUGGUAAAUCUCGUGCCAGCCACCGCGGUCAUACGAGUAACCCUAAUUAAUAAACCCCGGCGUAAAGAGUGUUAAAAAUAUUGGUAUAAUAAGAUUAAAUCAUAUCCAAGUCGUAAAAAACAAAAGAUAUUGAUAAACUCAUCGACGAAAGUAAUCUUAAUAUUUUUUGGAUACACCAAAGCUAAGACUCAAACUGGGAUUAGAUACCCCACUAUGCUUAGCCGUAAACACAAACACUUUAUAACAAUAGUCUUCGCCCGAGAACUACUAGCAACAGCUUAAAACUCAAAGGACUUGGCGGUGCUUUAAACCCACCUAGAGGAGCCUGUUCUAUAAUCGAUAAACCCCGAUAGACCUCACCUCUUCUUGCUAAUUCAGCCUAUAUACCGCCAUCUUCAGCAAACCCUACUAAGGAAUAAAAGUAAGCACAAUUACUAUCAUAAAAACGUUAGGUCAAGGUGUAGCCAAUGAAGAGGGAAGAAAUGGGCUACAUUUUCUCCUGCUUAAGAGAACAACUAACAGUAAUCUCCAUGAAAUCAAGAGGUUUUAAGGAGGAUUUAGUAGUAAAUUAAGAAUAGAGAGCUUAAUUGAAUUAGGCCAUAAAGCACGCACACACCGCCCGUCACCCUCCUCAAAUAUACAUUAUAAUUCACCUUAAUUAUCAAGAUAUGAGAGGAGAUAAGUCGUAACAAGGUAAGCAUACUGGAAAGUGUGCUUGGAUAAA